UCGCCUGUUUUUCAAAAACAUCGCUGGAUCUACUUCCAGCCAGAUCUGCCCAGUGAACUUAAACGGCCGCAGUAUCCUAACUGUGCUAAGGUAGCGUAAUCAUUAGCUUUUUAAUUGAAAGCCUGUAUGAACGAUUCGACGAAAGACAGCCUGUGUCUAAAGUACCCUUAACUUUCUUAGGGAGUUAAAAAGCUCCUCCUUCUCUGAGGGGCGACAAGACCCUGUAAAACUUCACUCUUACGGCAGAAUUUCUUGGAACUUUCUCCUCCCUUCCGAGUUCUACUGGGGCGGUACCUUCUACUUUAAACAAAACUUACCUUAACGGAGUGUCCGACUUUACCAACCUCUACUGAAAUAAAGAACAAGUUACUUCAGGGAUAACAGCGCAAUGGGACCUGAGAGUUCUUAUCAACGGCCCCGCUUACGACCUCGAUGUUGAAUUGAACCCCUGCCUGGAGCAGAAGCUAGGAGAGGAAGUCUGUUCGACUUUUAAAUUUUUACAUGAUUUGAGUCCAAACCGGA
Molecule: ribosomal RNA, 522 nt
Filed under: Paraimene sp. RW04.175.1538
Lineage: Eukaryota; Metazoa; Arthropoda; Malacostraca; Isopoda; Sphaeromatidae
Description: partial 16S ribosomal RNA
Rfam family: Bacterial large subunit ribosomal RNA
Source: RNAcentral